UAAUAUUUUAUUGACAGGAAUCAGUAAUUCAAUUGUUGCUAUAUAGAUAUGUGUAUAAUUUUUUGUUUUUUUUUUAUGAUGCAUUUUGUAUUUAAAUUGAAGAUUGCAGGAGCAAUCUUGGCGACGAAGGGAAGGGUAUAACCAGUAUAUUUUAGAUGCAAGAAUGUUAAAAUGUGGAAUUCAAAUAAUUGUUAUAAUUCAGUAUUAGUUAAGAUAUUUAGCACUAGCUUAAGAAAUAAUUUACUUGAUAAAUAAUUAAUAUAAAUCUUCACAAUUUUAGAUAAGUGUAAAGCAAAUUAU
RNAcentral lists this long non-coding RNA (300 nucleotides) under Mytilus galloprovincialis (Mediterranean mussel). The record is from RNAcentral. Lineage: Eukaryota; Metazoa; Mollusca; Bivalvia; Mytilida; Mytilidae.